Long non-coding RNA from Cornus florida, 603 nucleotides. RefSeq lists it as uncharacterized. NCBI's taxonomy places the organism in Eukaryota, Viridiplantae, Streptophyta, Magnoliopsida, Cornales, Cornaceae. The transcript is spliced from 2 exons. The record is from RefSeq and is a predicted model, not a curated record.
AUGUUUGUGUCUUAUAGAUGUAUGUGGUGCAUUUUGUUUAUAUGUGGAGUAUUUUGAAACAAAAAGAAAAGGGAAAAGAAAAGAAAAUCGGCGGGACCCACCACCCACUCAAACAUAUGGUUUAGAGACUUUUUUUUUAUGCUCAUUCUCUCUCCCCGCUGAAUCCUUUCUCUCGGCCAGUGCUCUAUCUCUCUGCCUUUUUCUUUUUCUUUUUCCUUUGCAACUUGAAUCUUUGAUUAAUUCAUCAUCUCUUGGUAGAUUUGGGUGCCGUUUGAGGCAAAACGAAGCUUAUGUCGAGCUCUACGCAUCCAUACCAACAAUUCCAGAUUUGGUGCACCCUUUGAACUUCGAAAUUUAGGACCCAUUUCUAGGGUUUUGCCUAUUUUGAGGUCUUGGAAAAGAACCGGUGAACGACAACCCACCUCAAGCUUGAGCGAUACUAGAAGCUCACUUUUGUGUCUUUUGUAUAUUUCCCAUUAUUUUUGCAAAGCACUAAAAGUAUAAAGGUAUAUAUAUAUAUUUUGCAAAACUUUGUCAUGUAACCUUGUUGAUGAAUGGGAAGGAUAAUUUUAGUUAAAGUAAUUAUCGGUGUUAUUUGAUUGU